AUAGCUUGCCAAUUUUAGAAUAUUCUGAGUAACAAAAGCCACAGCGUCUCACGGAGCGCCCAUACAAACACCUAACAUCAUCAUGGGUGCCGACUGGAACGCAUGGAAUAUUUAGGCUACCUGUGUUGGUUUGCGUGUGAUGACUGGGGGCCUUGCCUUUUCUUACCGGUAGUGGAGAGCACAGUGCUGGCGAAAAACAACGCCGAGAAACUGGCGCUUGAUGGUCCGGAGCUCUUGCCGCAGAAGAUCCUCGUACGGCAGCUCCACCGAGGAAAAUACCACGGCGCCGAAGAUGAGAUACAACACGUAACCGAGGACCAGAAAUAAGAAAUACCAUGUUGAUUUAUUGCUUUGAAUCAGACGCACGCAGGAGUUGCUCUUCACUUUCAUUGAGCCCUGCGCCGGAGUGAUGUGGCGAAUGAAGUCGGAGGUUGGACCUGUGACGUCGAUGCUUUUUCUCCGUCUCCUCUCAGGUGGCUAUAGAGCCGACAGAGGAAACGCAGCCUACAAGGUCCACAGUUCUGUGCCAAAUUGAAAAUCGAAAAGUGUAUUUUUAUGAAGCGCGAUGAAAAUUAACGUAGGCUACUAGAGUAUAGCAAUUAACAGAGCAACCAGCCACUUCAGAUAUCAUUGUGUUUGCAGUAUGCAUGUCACCUGAAUGAAUUAAAAAGAAAAAUAUACCAACACAUAAUUAAUGGCAAAAAAAAACGAAAUAGCUAAAUCACGUCUUUUUAUUUCACGUGCAGCCCCAUCACAGAUACACAGCACUUCAGCUAAAGUUCAAUUACCGAUCGCCGAUGUGAAAUACCCUUACACAAGUAAUAAACAUAAGAAUGCAUGUACAUGCACCAGUCGCUGAAUAAGACAUGCCUGUAAUAUCUAAGAUAUUAAAGCCUGCGCUGC
Long non-coding RNA from Conger conger (European conger), 903 nucleotides. RefSeq lists it as uncharacterized. The record is from RefSeq and is a predicted model, not a curated record. Lineage: Eukaryota; Metazoa; Chordata; Actinopteri; Anguilliformes; Congridae. The transcript is spliced from 3 exons.